AUUGAACGCUGGCGGCAGGCCUAACACAUGCAAGUCGAACGGUAGCACAGAGAGCUUGCUCUCGGGUGACGAGUGGCGGACGGGUGAGUAAUGUCUGGGAAACUGCCUGAUGGAGGGGGAUAACUACUGGAAACGGUAGCUAAUACCGCAUAACGUCGCAAGACCAAAGAGGGGGACCUUCGGGCCUCUUGCCAUCAGAUGUGCCCAGAUGGGAUUAGCUAGUAGGUGGGGUAAUGGCUCACCUAGGCGACGAUCCCUAGCUGGUCUGAGAGGAUGACCAGCCACACUGGAACUGAGACACGGUCCAGACUCCUACGGGAGGCAGCAGUGGGGAAUAUUGCACAAUGGGCGCAAGCCUGAUGCAGCCAUGCCGCGUGUAUGAAGAAGGCCUUCGGGUUGUAAAGUACUUUCAGCGGGGAGGAAGGUGUUGAGGUUAAUAACCUCAGCAAUUGACGUUACCCGCAGAAGAAGCACCGGCU
This 479-nucleotide ribosomal RNA is filed under the name uncultured bacterium. RNAcentral's name for it is "bacterial SSU rRNA". It matches the Rfam family "Bacterial small subunit ribosomal RNA", at positions 30 to 498 of the family's 1533-position model. The record is from RNAcentral.